AUACGGAGGGUGCAAGCGUUACUCGGAAUCACUGGGCGUAAAGGAUGCGUAGGCGGAUAAUCAAGUCAAAAGUGAAAUCCCACGGCUUAACCGUGGAACUGCUUUCGAAACUGGUUAUCUAGAAUAUGGAAGAGGCAGUUGGAAUUAGUGGUGUAGGGGUAAAAUCCGUAGAGAUCACUAGGAAUACCGAUUGCGAAGGCGAUCUGCUGGGACAUUAUUGACGCUGAGGCAUGAAAGCGUGGGGAGCAAACAGGAUUAGAAACCCUAGUAGUCC
Molecule: ribosomal RNA, 274 nt
Filed under: uncultured bacterium
Lineage: Bacteria
Description: partial 16S ribosomal RNA
Rfam family: Bacterial small subunit ribosomal RNA
Source: RNAcentral